This 362-nucleotide long non-coding RNA is filed under the name Gallus gallus (chicken). Lineage: Eukaryota; Metazoa; Chordata; Aves; Galliformes; Phasianidae. The record is from RNAcentral.
CGGACAAUGAAGGGGGGGGGGGGCAGCGCUUUUUCUGCCCGCAAAACCCCGAAAACGCCGUUUUUUCACCGAAAAAAGACCCCAAAUCGCUCCGGAAUACCCCCCAAAAAUCCCUUUCGAGAGGAAUUGGGGUCCAAAAGACCCAAAACCGGCGGAAUUUACCCCAAAAAUCGGAGCGUUUCCCCUUCGGCGCCGCGCGGUGCUCCGCUCUGAGGAGACAAAAUGGCGGCGGCAAAAUGGCGGCAACAGCGCGUAGAUGGAAAAUGGGCGCCGCUGAUUGGCUGCCGCCACCCGGAUGUCCCGCCCCCGCCGCUGAUUGGUUGAUCGCACCCCGGAAGUGUCGCCCCCCCCUCCGCCAUGGG